Molecule: non-coding RNA, 215 nt
Organism: Pelobates cultripes (western spadefoot toad)
Lineage: Eukaryota; Metazoa; Chordata; Amphibia; Anura; Pelobatidae
Source: the annotation of a GenBank genome assembly
CUUCACCAGCUCCACCUGUAUCUUCUGUUAUUGUGUCAGUCUCUCUUCCUUCUAUCUCCACUAAUUCCCCUCUGCACCCGCUGUUCUAUGUUUCUUAUUUUCACUUCCCAUCUUUUCUCUCCCUCUUCCAAGCACCCUGUCUUCUCAUUCUGCUCCAUAACUUGCUUUCCAUUGUCUUUCUAAGGGGAAAUUGACAUUACACAAUUGUUCUGGGC